Molecule: ribosomal RNA, 460 nt
Filed under: uncultured bacterium
Lineage: Bacteria
Description: partial 16S ribosomal RNA
Rfam family: Bacterial small subunit ribosomal RNA
Source: RNAcentral
CCUACGGGGGACUGCAGUGAGGAAUAUUGGUCAAUGGGCGGAAGCCUGAACCAGCCAAGUAGCGUGCAGGAUGACGGCCCUACGGGUUGUAAACUGCUUUUAUAAUGGAAUAACGCGCCUUACGCGUAGGGCUUUGCAUGUACCGUAUGAAUAAGGACCGGCUAAUUCCGUGCCCGCAGCCGCGGUAAUACGGAAGGUCCGGGCAGUAUCCGGAUUUAUUGGGUUUAAAGGGAGCGUAGGCCGCAUGUCAAGCGUGCUGUGAAAUGUCCGGGCUCAACCCGGGCCUUGCAGCGCGAACUGGCAUGCUUGAGUCCGCGGAAAGCAGGCGGAAUUCGUGGUGUAGCGGUGAAAUGCUUAGAUAUGACGAAGAACCCCGAUUGCGAAGGCAGCUUGCUGCAUCGGAACUGACGCUGAUGCUCGAAAGCGCGGGUAUCGAACAGGAUUAGAUACCCCGGUAGUC